This 52-nucleotide non-coding RNA is filed under the name unclassified sequences. The record is from Rfam.
GGACCACUCCGAAAGGAGUCAAGGCCAUACGGACAGCCGGGUCCACUGCCGA